CAGGCUUAACACAUGCAAGUCGAGGGGCAGCAUGGUCUUAGCUUGCUAAGGCCGAUGGCGACCGGCGCACGGGUGAGUAACACGUAUCCAACCUGCCGUCUACUCUUGGACAGCCUUCUGAAAGGAAGAUUAAUACAAGAUGGCAUCAUGAGUCCGCAUGUUCACAUGAUUAAAGGUAUUCCGGUAGACGAUGGGGAUGCGUUCCAUUAGAUAGUAGGCGGGGUAACGGCCCACCUAGUCUUCGAUGGAUAGGGGUUCUGAGAGGAAGGUCCCCCACAUUGGAACUGAGACACGGUCCAAACUCCUACGGGAGGCAGCAGUGAGGAAUAUUGGUCAAUGGGCGAGAGCCUGAACCAGCCAAGUAGCGUGAAGGAUGACUGCCCUAUGGGUUGUAAACUUCUUUUAUAAAGGAAUAAAGUCGGGUAUGCAUACCCGUUUGCAUGUACUUUAUGAAUAAGGAUCGGCUAACUCCGUGCCAGCAGCCGCGGUAAUACGGAGGAUCCGAGCGUUAUCCGGAUUUAUUGGGUUUAAAGGGAGCGUAGAUGGAUGUUUAAGUCAGUUGUGAAAGUUUGCGGCUCAACCGCAAAAUUGCAGUUGAUACUGGAUAUCUUGAGUGCAGUUGAGGCAGGCGGAAUUCGUGGUGUAGCGGUGAAAUGCUUAGAUAUCACGAAGAACUCCGAUUGCGAAGGCAGCCUGCUAAGCUGCAACUGACAUUGAGGCUCGAAAGUGUGGGUAUCAAACAGGAUUAGAUACCCUGGUAGUCCACACGGUAAACGAUGAAUACUCGCUGUUUGCGAUAUACAGCAAGCGGCCAAGCGAAAGCGUUAAGUAUUCCACCUGGGGAGUACGCCGGCAACGGUGAAACUCAAAGGAAUUGACGGGGGCCCGCACAAGCGGAGGGACAUGUGGUUUAAUUCGAUGAUACGCGAGGAACCUUACCCGGGCUUAAAUUGCAGAUGAAUUACGGUGAAAGCCGUAAGCCGCAAGGCAUCUGUGAAGGUGCUGCAUGGUUGUCGUCAGCUCGUGCCGUGAGGUGUCGGCUUAAGUGCCAUAACGAGCGCAACCCUUGUUGUCAGUUACUAACAGGUUCCGCUGAGGACUCUGACAAGACUGCCAUCGUAAGAUGUGAGGAAGGUGGGGAUGACGUCAAAUCAGCACGGCCCUUACGUCCGGGGCUACACACGUGUUACAAUGGGGGGGUACAGAGGGCCGCUACCACGCGAGUGGAUGCCAAUCCCAAAAACCUCUCUCAGUUCGGACUGGAGUCUGCAACCCGACUCCACGAAGCUGGAUUCGCUAGUAAUCGCGCAUCAGCCACGGCGCGGUGAAUACGUUCCCGGGCCUUGUACACACCGCCCGUCAAGCCAUGGGAGCCGGGGGUACCUGAAGUGCGUAACCGCGAGGAGCGCCCUAGGGUAAAACUGGUGACUGGGGC
This 1435-nucleotide ribosomal RNA is filed under the name uncultured organism. RNAcentral describes it as "16S ribosomal RNA". It matches the Rfam family "Bacterial small subunit ribosomal RNA". The record is from RNAcentral.